Molecule: ribosomal RNA, 398 nt
Filed under: uncultured bacterium
Lineage: Bacteria
Description: bacterial SSU rRNA
Rfam family: Bacterial small subunit ribosomal RNA
Source: RNAcentral
AUAUUGGACAAUGGGCGCAAGCCUGAUCCAGCCAUGCCGCGUGAGUGAUGAAGGCCCUAGGGUUGUAAAGCUCUUUUGUGCGGGAAGAUACUGACGGUACCGCAAGAAUAAGCCUCGGCCAACUUCGUGCCCGCAGCCGCGGUAAUACGAAGGGGGCUAGCGUUGCUCGGAAUUACUGGGCGUAAAGGGUGCGUAGGCGGGUCUUUAAGUCAGGGGUGAAAUCCUGGAGCUCAACUCCAGAACUGCCUUUGAUACUGAGGAUCUUGAGUUCGGGAGAGGUGAGUGGAACUGCGAGUGUAGAGGUGAAAUUCGUAGAUAUUCGCAAGAACACCAGUGGCGAAGGCGGCUCACUGGCCCGAUACUGACGCUGAGGCACGAAAGCGUGGGGAGCAAACAGG